UAGGGGAAUCUUUCGGCAAUGGACGAAAGUCUGACCGAGCAACGCCGCGUGAGUGAAGAAGGUUUUCGGAUCGUAAAACUCUGUUGGUAGAGAAGAACGUUGGUGAGAGUGGAAAGCUCAUCAAGUGACGGUAACUACCCAGAAAGGGACGGCUAACUACGUGCCAA
This 167-nucleotide ribosomal RNA is filed under the name uncultured bacterium. Its description in RNAcentral is "partial 16S rRNA". It matches the Rfam family "Bacterial small subunit ribosomal RNA", at positions 354 to 511 of the family's 1533-position model. The record is from RNAcentral.